GGCCCGUUGGUCAAGUGGUUAAGACACCGCCCUUUCACGGCGGUAACACGGGUUCGAAUCCCGUACGGGUCAUCA
RNAcentral lists this transfer RNA (75 nucleotides) under Bacillus amyloliquefaciens. RNAcentral's name for it is "tRNA-Glu". It matches the Rfam family "tRNA". From Rfam's summary of the family: Transfer RNA (tRNA) molecules are approximately 80 nucleotides in length. Their secondary structure includes four short double-helical elements and three loops (D, anti-codon, and T loops). The record is from RNAcentral. RNAcentral also lists the same sequence under 93 other names. Lineage: Bacteria; Bacillati; Bacillota; Bacilli; Caryophanales; Bacillaceae.